RNAcentral lists this transfer RNA (77 nucleotides) under Candidatus Edwardsbacteria bacterium GWE2_54_12. Its description in RNAcentral is "tRNA-Arg". It matches the Rfam family "tRNA". From Rfam's summary of the family: Transfer RNA (tRNA) molecules are approximately 80 nucleotides in length. Their secondary structure includes four short double-helical elements and three loops (D, anti-codon, and T loops). RNAcentral also lists the same sequence under 6 other names. Lineage: Bacteria; Candidatus Edwardsiibacteriota. The record is from RNAcentral.
GCCCCUGUAGCUCAGAUGGAUAGAGCAACGGUUUCCUAAACCGUGUGUCGGCCGUUCGAAUCGGCCCAGGGGUACCA